Molecule: ribosomal RNA, 225 nt
Filed under: uncultured Thauera sp.
Lineage: Bacteria; Pseudomonadati; Pseudomonadota; Betaproteobacteria; Rhodocyclales; Zoogloeaceae
Description: partial 16S ribosomal RNA
Rfam family: Bacterial small subunit ribosomal RNA
Source: RNAcentral
CGAAACCGGAGGAAGGUGGGGAUGACGUCAAGUCCUCAUGGCCCUUAUGGUAGGGCUUCACACGUCAUACAAUGGUCGGUACAGAGGGUUGCCAAGCCGCGAGGUGGAGCCAAUCCCUUAAAGCCGAUCGUAGUCCGGAUCGUAGUCUGCAACUCGACUACGUGAAGUCGGAAUCGCUAGUAAUCGCAGAUCAGCAUGCUGCGGUGAAUACGUUCCCGGGUCCUU